CCCGGGUCUUGUACGCACCGCCCGUCACACCAUGGGAGCGGGAUGUACCAGAAGUAGGUAGGCUAACCGCAAGGGGGCCGCUUACCACGGUGCGUUUCGUGACUGGGGUG
Molecule: ribosomal RNA, 110 nt
Filed under: uncultured bacterium
Lineage: Bacteria
Description: partial 16S ribosomal RNA
Rfam family: Bacterial small subunit ribosomal RNA
Source: RNAcentral